This 2924-nucleotide ribosomal RNA is filed under the name Escherichia coli 3003. Its description in RNAcentral is "bacterial LSU rRNA". It matches the Rfam family "Bacterial large subunit ribosomal RNA". The record is from RNAcentral. Lineage: Bacteria; Pseudomonadati; Pseudomonadota; Gammaproteobacteria; Enterobacterales; Enterobacteriaceae.
GAAACAUCUUCGGGUUGUGAGGUUAAGCGACUAAGCGUACACGGUGGAUGCCCUGGCAGUCAGAGGCGAUGAAGGACGUGCUAAUCUGCGAUAAGCGUCGGUGAGGUGAUAUGAACCGUUAUAACCGGCGAUUUCCGAAUGGGGAAACCCAGUGUGAUUCGUCACACUAUCAUUAACUGAAUCCAUAGGUUAAUGAGGCGAACCGGGGGAACUGAAACAUCUAAGUACCCCGAGGAAAAGAAAUCAACCGAGAUUCCCCCAGUAGCGGCGAGCGAACGGGGAGGAGCCCAGAGCCUGAAUCAGUGUGUGUGUUAGUGGAAGCGUCUGGAAAGGCGCGCGAUACAGGGUGACAGCCCCGUACACAAAAAUGCACAUAUUGUGAGCUCGAUGAGUAGGGCGGGACACGUGGUAUCCUGUCUGAAUAUGGGGGGACCAUCCUCCAAGGCUAAAUACUCCUGACUGACCGAUAGUGAACCAGUACCGUGAGGGAAAGGCGAAAAGAACCCCGGCGAGGGGAGUGAAAAAGAACCUGAAACCGUGUACGUACAAGCAGUGGGAGCCUCUUAAUGGGGUGACUGCGUACCUUUUGUAUAAUGGGUCAGCGACUUAUAUUCUGUAGCAAGGUUAACCGAAUAGGGGAGCCGAAGGGAAACCGAGUCUUAACUGGGCGUUAAGUUGCAGGGUAUAGACCCGAAACCCGGUGAUCUAGCCAUGGGCAGGUUGAAGGUUGGGUAACACUAACUGGAGGACCGAACCGACUAAUGUUGAAAAAUUAGCGGAUGACUUGUGGCUGGGGGUGAAAGGCCAAUCAAACCGGGAGAUAGCUGGUUCUCCCCGAAAGCUAUUUAGGUAGCGCCUCGUGAAUUCAUCUCCGGGGGUAGAGCACUGUUUCGGCAAGGGGGUCAUCCCGACUUACCAACCCGAUGCAAACUGCGAAUACCGGAGAAUGUUAUCACGGGAGACACACGGCGGGUGCUAACGUCCGUCGUGAAGAGGGAAACAACCCAGACCGCCAGCUAAGGUCCCAAAGUCAUGGUUAAGUGGGAAACGAUGUGGGAAGGCCCAGACAGCCAGGAUGUUGGCUUAGAAGCAGCCAUCAUUUAAAGAAAGCGUAAUAGCUCACUGGUCGAGUCGGCCUGCGCGGAAGAUGUAACGGGGCUAAACCAUGCACCGAAGCUGCGGCAGCGACACUAUGUGUUGUUGGGUAGGGGAGCGUUCUGUAAGCCUGUGAAGGUGGCCUGUGAGGGUUGCUGGAGGUAUCAGAAGUGCGAAUGCUGACAUAAGUAACGAUAAAGCGGGUGAAAAGCCCGCUCGCCGGAAGACCAAGGGUUCCUGUCCAACGUUAAUCGGGGCAGGGUGAGUCGACCCCUAAGGCGAGGCCGAAAGGCGUAGUCGAUGGGAAACAGGUUAAUAUUCCUGUACUUGGUGUUACUGCGAAGGGGGGACGGAGAAGGCUAUGUUGGCCGGGCGACGGUUGUCCCGGUUUAAGCGUGUAGGCUGGUUUUCCAGGCAAAUCCGGAAAAUCAAGGCUGAGGCGUGAUGACGAGGCACUACGGUGCUGAAGCGACAAAUGCCCUGCUUCCAGGAAAAGCCUCUAAGCAUCAGGUAACAUCAAAUCGUACCCCAAACCGACACAGGUGGUCAGGUAGAGAAUACCAAGGCGCUUGAGAGAACUCGGGUGAAGGAACUAGGCAAAAUGGUGCCGUAACUUCGGGAGAAGGCACGCUGAUAUGUAGGUGAAGCGACUUGCUCGUGGAGCUGAAAUCAGUCGAAGAUACCAGCUGGCUGCAACUGUUUAUUAAAAACACAGCACUGUGCAAACACGAAAGUGGACGUAUACGGUGUGACGCCUGCCCGGUGCCGGAAGGUUAAUUGAUGGGGUUAGCGGCAACGCGAAGCUCUUGAUCGAAGCCCCGGUAAACGGCGGCCGUAACUAUAACGGUCCUAAGGUAGCGAAAUUCCUUGUCGGGUAAGUUCCGACCUGCACGAAUGGCGUAAUGAUGGCCAGGCUGUCUCCACCCGAGACUCAGUGAAAUUGAACUCGCUGUGAAGAUGCAGUGUACCCGCGGCAAGACGGAAAGACCCCGUGAACCUUUACUAUAGCUUGACACUGAACAUUGAGCCUUGAUGUGUAGGAUAGGUGGGAGGCUUUGAAGUGUGGACGCCAGUCUGCAUGGAGCCGACCUUGAAAUACCACCCUUUAAUGUUUGAUGUUCUAACGUGGGCCCGUAAUCCGGGUUGCGGACAGUGUCUGGUGGGUAGUUUGACUGGGGCGGUCUCCUCCUAAAGAGUAACGGAGGAGCACGAAGGUUGGCUAAUCCUGGUCGGACAUCAGGAGGUUAGUGCAAUGGCAUAAGCCAGCUUGACUGCGAGCGUGACGGCGCGAGCAGGUGCGAAAGCAGGUCAUAGUGAUCCGGUGGUUCUGAAUGGAAGGGCCAUCGCUCAACGGAUAAAAGGUACUCCGGGGAUAACAGGCUGAUACCGCCCAAGAGUUCAUAUCGACGGCGGUGUUUGGCACCUCGAUGUCGGCUCAUCACAUCCUGGGGCUGAAGUAGGUCCCAAGGGUAUGGCUGUUCGCCAUUUAAAGUGGUACGCGAGCUGGGUUUAGAACGUCGUGAGACAGUUCGGUCCCUAUCUGCCGUGGGCGCUGGAGAACUGAGGGGGGCUGCUCCUAGUACGAGAGGACCGGAGUGGACGCAUCACUGGUGUUCGGGUUGUCAUGCCAAUGGCACUGCCCGGUAGCUAAAUGCGGAAGAGAUAAGUGCUGAAAGCAUCUAAGCACGAAACUUGCCCCGAGAUGAGUUCUCCCUGACCCUUUAAGGGUCCUGAAGGAACGUUGAAGACGACGACGUUGAUAGGCCGGGUGUGUAAGCGCAGCGAUGCGUUGAGCUAACCGGUACUAAUGAACCGUGAGGCUUAACCUU